UAGGGAAUCUUCCGCAAUGGGCGAAAGCCUGACGGAGCAACGCCGCGUGAGUGAUGAAGGUCUUCGGAUCGUAAAACUCUGUUAUUAGGGAAGAACAAAUGUGUAAGUAACUGUGCACGUCUUGACGGUACCUAAUCAGAAAGCCACGGCUAACUACGUGCCAGCAGCCGCGGUAAUACGUAGGUGGCAAGCGUUAUCCGGAAUUAUUGGGCGUAAAGCGCGCGUAGGCGGUUUCUUAAGUCUGAUGUGAAAGCCCACGGCUCAACCGUGGAGGGUCAUUGGAAACUGGGAAACUUGAGAGCAGAAGAGGAAAGUGGAAUUCCAUGUGUAGCGGUGAAAUGCGCAGAGAUAUGGAGGAACACCAGUGGCGAAGGCGACUUUCUGGUCUGUAACUGACGCUGAUGUGCGAAAGCGUGGGGAUCAAACAGG
Molecule: ribosomal RNA, 429 nt
Filed under: bacterium
Lineage: Bacteria
Description: partial 16S ribosomal RNA
Rfam family: Bacterial small subunit ribosomal RNA
Source: RNAcentral